This 306-nucleotide ribosomal RNA is filed under the name uncultured bacterium. RNAcentral describes it as "bacterial SSU rRNA". It matches the Rfam family "Bacterial small subunit ribosomal RNA", at positions 28 to 334 of the family's 1533-position model. The record is from RNAcentral.
GACGAACGCUGGCGGCGUGCUUAACACAUGCAAGUCGAACGGAAAGGCCCCUGCUUGCAGGGGUGCUCGAGUGGCGAACGGGUGAGUAACACGUGGGUGAUCUGCCCUUCACUUCGGGAUAAGCCUGGGAAACUGGGUCUAAUACCGGACAGGACCAAUCUUUAGUGUGGUUGGUGGAAAGUUUUUUCGGUGGAGGAUGAGCCCGCGGCCUAUCAGCUUGUUGGUGGGGUAAUGGCCUACCAAGGCGACGACGGGUAGCCGGCCUGAGAGGGUGACCGGCCACAUUGGGACUGAGACACGGCCCAA